RNAcentral lists this long non-coding RNA (1455 nucleotides) under Gossypium barbadense (sea-island cotton). RNAcentral's name for it is "long non-coding RNA (GBAR_LNC008512)". The record is from RNAcentral. Lineage: Eukaryota; Viridiplantae; Streptophyta; Magnoliopsida; Malvales; Malvaceae.
GCAAUUAAUAAAUAAAAUAGAUCAUUAAAACACAAAAAUAAAGGUCAAAAUGCAAUGCGUGUGAACGUACGAGGAUUGAAAAUGUAAAUAAUCCGAAUAUCAAAAUGCAAUGCUUAAGCGCGGAUCCAAUUGAAUUGGCGCACAAAUUCUUGGGGCAAAAUUAAAAAACAAAAAAAUCUGAAGUAAGCUUGAUUGCGCGCUAACGCGAAAGGAGGGGACCAAUCGAGCAAAUUGACCAUCUACAACAAAUAACCAAACAUUUCGCCAUUGAAACGGUGUUGUUUCUUCCCUUUUAUAAAACCAAAUAUUUCCUUUAAAAAAACAAAGAAAACAAUCAGCCCCUUUUAAAAUAACCCUAGCCCCUUUUUAUUUCCCCAUAAUUUUCUCCUCUCUUGACCGAUUCUCAUCCCCCCAAACCACAAGCUACACAUUCAAGCCUGGAGAAUGAUUUUUCAGCUUUGAAAUCCUCUCUUGGCUUUGAUUCAAACAAAGCAAGAAAGAAAGCUAUGGCGCAUUUGCCAGGUAAGACUUCGCUCUCUCCUUUUUUUAUUUUUGAAAUCAAUGAUGAAAGACAGAAGGAAAUGAAUCGCAAGAAAAUUAAAAGGUAUGGAGAAACUCGUAUUGGAAAUCACCUUUUUAAUUUUUGAUUGCUUUCUUUUUCAAUAUGCAUGUGUAUUGCUGGGAAAAAGGAUCCUAUUUACAUCGUUUACAUUCGGUCUUAUAGCCGAAAAAUAAGUAAAUAAAAAUACAAAAAAUCCUUACUGUAAUCUGUUAUUGUUUGCUGUCAUUUGAUGUUGUGGUUUUCGUUUGUUGCAGGUGUGCAUGGCGUGGAGGAGUUAUUUGCGGAGCAUGGCACGAGUGGAAGAAUCGGCUAAAGGCUGUGGUGGCUGAAGCUUCUAAGGUUUCUGCCGAAAAUUCCCUAGGUGUUUUGGGCUUGGGGUAUUUUGGAUUAUUUAGGCUAUUUGGGUUAAGUUUAAUAAUUUGAGCCCAUUUAUUUUGGUUGCUGGGCUAUGUAAGAAAUGGACAUUGGAUUAUUAUUGUUGUUUUAUUUUAUUUUUGGUUUUAGUUUUGGUGUAGGCCCAAGCACAAAUUGGGUCUUACAAUUAUGAUAUACUAAAUUGAAGAAAAAAGAUAAUUACGUGAAAAAAAUUUAAAAAAUAAAAUUAUAAGUACCUCAAUUAGAAUAUUUGGUUCAAUUUAUUCGACUUUACUCCUUAAAUCAAUUCAGUUUAUAUGAAUAAUUUGUUUUAUUCAAUUUUUGGUAUAAAAAAUCAAACCAACCGAAUACACAAUUCUAUUGUUUGUAACUUUAAAAUUACAUUUAUAAAUAAGAGAUAUGAAAGAUGAAAUUCUCUUGCAAAAUCUAAGACAUGAACAACAAUACUGAUUUUAUCAUGACCAUCUUCAUCAAAAUAAUGGUACAAUAAAAGAACUAAUGGCAAGUCAAUGUCCAAC